GCAACCUCUUGGCCUCUUCCUACUCGACACACGGUACCUGGUGAUAUUACAGCUUAUCCUGCUGAAGCAAUUCAUAAUUUGGGUAUUGCUGUUCGAAACAUUGUUGAUGUGAACGAUUUACCGAUGGAGCAAUCAGGCACACCAUUUCCCGGAUACGCCCGGUUCCCGGAUCGCUCCACAUGCGGAGCCGGGUAUUCAGAUGUCACCGGUUUCGGUCUCAUCUGCCUUUGUUGACCACAACUGAGUGUGCAUCCCAUAACGAUACAAGCUUUCACAGUUCCAGACAGCUGAAGGUGUCCGACAUCCUUAUACUUAAGCGCAUGGUUCCACCAAAGCAAAACCCCAAACAACACAUAGUUCAAAUACUGCCACAAGCACUGCUUUCGAAAGUGGACAGCAGUCAGUCGCUAGUGGAUUGAACCCCGUCCGGUUCUUCAACAACAUCGUCGGUCAUGCAUACCUGAUUUAUAAUGGGAAAACGCAAGGAUCGUCUUCUGGCAGAAACACCCCAUGUGACGCCAUCAUCCAGUUCCCGAUCUCGAUUUUCUGGGGCUUCAUCCAAAAUGACAUCCUUCUUGGCUUCACUGAAUCCCGGCCGAUGGGAACACCAGUCGUCAUCUUCUCCGUCGCACUAUUUGAAUUCAUCCUUUGCGAAGGACGGUUCAAAUGCAUUGGCUAAGAGUCAGUCUAAUUCUGACAACAGUAAUUGCUGCCGUUAACCGAGAAAAGACAAGUCAGUGAAUCGCAUCACCUUCGUCAAUCGUUACUCGACGGAUGGCGUUGCGGCAACAAGUAGUGCGGAACAUCCGGCUUGUUCGAUUCUAUCCAAGUAGACGGCGUUCAUAAAAAGAGAUAAAAAGCUAGAUGAAAACCAGAGUAACUGCAUGUCAGCUCUGAAAGAGCUUCAAGAUACGAUCGAAAGUGACUUCAAAGGCAGACGAAAUGGCAAACCACUACGGUUUGAUGCGUGUUAUGUUGAGCUACAAAGUCUUUGCCAACCUUCCGCUGGAUGCUAACUUCUCGUGCUAUGUGACGCCGACCAUUAACCGUGCAUCGUUCAUUGUAUUUGUGCCAAAGUUAAAUGGAUGCGUUAGACAGUUGCAGCAGUUCCCAGUCAACGUGCAUAACUUUUCAGCUGACUUUGGAAGCCAUUCGAAAACAGUGUUCUUAAAUUUUUCAAUACGUACCAGCUGUAGAUAAAGCCUUUCUCUCGAAUGAAAUAGUUCAGACAUUAAGUGAUUAUGUGUAUCUAGCAGUAUCUAACUUUCAAUGACACCCCGAGUGUGCACAAAUCUACGUCAAAGAAAGGAAGGCACCGUUAAGAUAGAUUAAUUAAAUUAAAUUAAAACUUAACUUAAGAAAAAAAAUAAAAUUAAAUUGAAAUUAAAUUUAACAUUUCAUAAGACGAGUUAGUACUAUCUCACCCAUUUCCACCACUUGAUUGUAACUUCAACAUAAACGCCGUCUUCAGUGCCUCGUACUAAACUCAGUGUCUUUUCAUGCACUAUUCCUGCGCUAUACAAUUUAUUAAUUGAAUUAAAAUUAAUAGGAAUAAAUCAAAAUUAAACCAAAAGUGAAGAAGAUUAAAUUU
Armigeres subalbatus is the source of this 1591-nucleotide long non-coding RNA. RefSeq lists it as uncharacterized. Lineage: Eukaryota; Metazoa; Arthropoda; Insecta; Diptera; Culicidae. The record is from RefSeq and is a predicted model, not a curated record. The transcript is spliced from 3 exons.